AUUGAACGCUGGCGGCAUGCCUUACACAUGCAAGUCGAACGGCAGCACGGGAGCUUGCUCCUGGUGGCGAGUGGCGAACGGGUGAGUAAUACAUCGGAACGUACCCUGAAGUGGGGGAUAACGUAGCGAAAGUUACGCUAAUACCGCAUAUUCUGUGAGCAGGAAAGAGGGGGAUCGCAAGACCUCUUGCUUUUAGGAGCGGCCGAUGUCGGAUUAGCUAGUUGGUGAGGUAAAGGCUCACCAAGGCGACGAUCCGUAGCGGGUCUGAGAGGAUGAUCCGCACACUGGGACUGAGACACGGCCCAGACUCCUACGGGAGGCAGCAGUGGGAAUUUUGGACAAUGGGCGCAAGCCUGAUCCAGCCAUGCCGCGUGAGUGAAGAAGGCCUUC
Molecule: ribosomal RNA, 390 nt
Filed under: uncultured bacterium
Lineage: Bacteria
Description: bacterial SSU rRNA
Rfam family: Bacterial small subunit ribosomal RNA
Source: RNAcentral